GACGAACGCUGGCGGCGUGCUUAACACAUGCAAGUCGAACGGAAAGGCCCUGCUUUUGUGGGGUGCUCGAGUGGCGAACGGGUGAGUAACACGUGAGUAACCUGCCCUUGACUUUGGGAUAACUUCAGGAAACUGGGGCUAUUCCGGGUACGGGGCUCUGGUUCACGGGUGGGGGUGGGAAGGUUCGGCGGUUGGGGAUGGACUCGCGGCUUAUCAGCUUGUUGGUGGGGUAGUGGCUUACCAAGGCUUUGACGGGUAGCCGGCCUGAGAGGGUGACCGGCCACAUUGGGACUGAGAUACGGCCCAGACUCCUACGGGAGGCAGCAGUGGGGAAUAUUGCACAAUGGGCGGAAGCCUGAUGCAGCAACGCCGCGUGCGGGAUGACGGCCUUCGGGUUGUAAACCGCUUUCGCCUGUGACGAAGCGUGAGUGACGGUAAUGGGUAAAGAAGCACCGGCUAACUACGUG
Molecule: ribosomal RNA, 467 nt
Filed under: uncultured bacterium
Lineage: Bacteria
Description: partial 16S ribosomal RNA
Rfam family: Bacterial small subunit ribosomal RNA
Source: RNAcentral